Octopus bimaculoides (California two-spot octopus) is the source of this 111-nucleotide non-coding RNA. NCBI's taxonomy places the organism in Eukaryota, Metazoa, Mollusca, Cephalopoda, Octopoda, Octopodidae. The record is from Rfam.
GUAAAUACUAGCUUUGGCAAUACCAAUUCUAAAAUUGUAAUGAUACAGAGAAGAUUAUCAUGGCCCCUGGACAAGGAUGACAGGUAAAUUCAUAAAGCAUUCCAUAUUUUU